GUAACGGCGAGCGAAAAGGGAUUAGCCCAGUGUGAAAAUCACCAGCCGUUGUGUGCUGGUGAAUUGUAGUCUGCAGUGGCAGCUCCUGGGUGGCGCGCGGCCGAAGCAUCUUGGAACAGAUCGCCUCAGAGGGUGAGAGUCCCGUAGGCCAAGCAAAGCCCAGCACGGAGCGCUCACGGAGAGUCGGGUUGUUUGGGAAUGCAGCCCCAAUCGGGUGGUAAACCCCAUCUAAGGCUAAAUACCGGUGGGAGACCGAUAGCAAAAAAGUACCUCGAGGGAACGAUGAAAAGACCGCUGGCAAGCGAGUGAAAGAGUGCAUGAAAUUG
Molecule: ribosomal RNA, 326 nt
Filed under: Dictyosphaeria cavernosa
Lineage: Eukaryota; Viridiplantae; Chlorophyta; Ulvophyceae; Cladophorales; Siphonocladaceae
Description: partial large subunit ribosomal RNA
Rfam family: Eukaryotic large subunit ribosomal RNA
Source: RNAcentral